This is a non-coding RNA of Cicer arietinum (chickpea), 1137 nucleotides long. Lineage: Eukaryota; Viridiplantae; Streptophyta; Magnoliopsida; Fabales; Fabaceae. The record is from RefSeq and is a predicted model, not a curated record.
CAAUUAAGUUUAAUUUUUUGUUAAAGAAACAAAAAGAUGGGGACUUGAAUUUCAUUUAGGAAUAAAAAAGAACCAAAAAAAAUUUCUCCAAUCAAGCAAGUUUUCUUGUCCUUGGGUAAUAAUAAUAUAAUAUAGUAUCAGUAUGCAUAUUCUCUUUUAUUGUCUUAAAAAUAAUCUUUGUAAAAAUGGACGGACUGUAUUUUGCUUUUUCGGCCUCUGUGUUGAUCAUUGAAAAAAAUGGACAUCGUUUUUUAAUUCUUCUCGUUGAAACUUUGAAGAAACUCUACUCAUAUUCUCUUUUAAGAAACAAUCACAUUUUCUUAUUUGGACGAACUAUAUUUUCCUUUUUCGACCUCCGUAUUCAUCAUUGGAAAAAAAUGAUAUCGUUUUUGGAUUCCUCUCGUCGAAACUUUCAAGAAGCUCUACUGAUUCACAUAUUUCGAUAAAGUUGACGUCGGAUCUUGUCUGUGCUUCGACGCAUCGCUAUUCUCAGCUCGUCUACCUCUGAUACGAUUGAUAAAGCAAGUAAUCAAUUGCCUCUAAUAAGCUUGACAAGCGAGUGAUUCUCUGCCACUGAUAAUCAUUUCAAGUAUCUGAUCAUAUAACUCUAACUUAUGUCGUAUGCACUGAAGGAAAUCAAUGAUAUAAAAGAUGUAAACGCUAUGAUGAAAUUCAACUUUCUAAAGAAGACGAAGCAAUUGUGCAUCAUCUGAUCAACAUCUAGAAUCUACUACUUGUUCAUAUAUCUUGUUCUCUCACACUUCUAUUGAUAGAGGAGUUGAUCUAUAACACCCUCUCAAUGAGAGUUAGAAUUCGAAAAACAAACUUUGUGUCAAAUCAGACAACAACCUUCUCACCCCUAAGAGGUACGUGAAAAGGUACCACGACUCUCAUGAAUCUUAAUGGCAAGAUGCCAGAAAGUUGAAGAAGGUUUUGAUGAAGACAACCUGGAGAGGCUAGAGAAAAAUACUAAAAGCCUAAAAAGGCAGAGUAAAGAAUACUUUUUUGCUAUUUAUGGAAAUAUUGGAUUAAGUCAUCGACUGUGCUAAAGUAAAAUCUCUUUGUAUAGGGAGUGCUAGAUAUAGGAACAAUUUGUUGUGAACUAUUAUAAAAAUAUGUCUCUUUUAUCUUCUUCUA